ACAGCACACACAGGCGGUUUCUUUUAAUUUACAAAAGUUCCUUUUAUUUAAGAUCCAGAGCGUGUGUGUUUUUUUUUUAAAUAUAAAAUGACCUGGCUCCGCUUGACAACAAUGCAAAAGGGUGGCGGUAAAUAAAUAAAGCGCUCCAGCAAACAAGGCCUAGUAUGUAAUCCCAUGUCCCUUCCCCCCCUCGGGGGGCAAAAUGCCCCGCCACCUCCUCCCCCCGUCCCCGGGGAGGUUCAAAUGCCAAUAGAUGAACUUAACGUUUGGAAAACCAUUCUACCCAUGAGAAUCCACAUACCCAGCCCGACCGGAUCCAGCUGUGACCCGGAGAUAGGAUCGCCCGCAUAACCCAGCCAAGUAUAAAAGGCAACGGAAGGAAGGGGUGGGUGGUGGGAAGGGGGUAAUUGUAGCAAAUAAAUAGGUGCCCCCCAAUUCAAGCAAUUCUGCUACAGAACUCGUGGAAGUCCUUCUCCAUGAAUAUCUCGCUCUCGAUCACAUCGUCCUCGGAAGGGAAGUACUGCAAGCUCUCCUCCUGGUGCACGUCCGCCAAACCGCCACCGAAAAACCGCAACUGCUGCUGCGACGAGGGCUCACAGUCAGUGGCGGCCGAGGAAGCGGGCGGAGACCAGGAGGAGGAGCGAGGAUCCUCGGCAAAGUCCAUCAGCGCCCCCCGGGAGUUCUCUAGCACCCCCAGGUAGGAGUCCAUGUCCAGCGGGUCCAUCUCACUGUCCGACCCGCCGCUCUCGGUGCCCACCGAGUCCGACCGCAGGUGCAUGAGCUGGUACUUCUCCCGCAUCAGGAACUGGUUGGUGUUACGGGGGGCCCGCAUGCCCGGGGCUCGCUUGCCCAUCAUGUUGACGGGCCGCAGAGAGAGCAGCACCCUGGGGCGGGUGGGCCGAUAGCACCGCUGGGAGGCCCUGCAGUGCUGCUGCUGCUGGUAAUGGGCGUGCGUCCUGCUGCCCAAAAGCCUCCUGGAGAAGGCGGGGGUCCUUCCACGCCAGCUGUGGUGCCAGCGACCCCUGCUGCAGCCCCUCCGGGGCGCUCCCUCCUUCAGCUGCUGCUGGUAGGCUUCCGGCACCUCUUCCUCCUUCCCAGCCCUGGCAGGCUCCCAGAGGGCACCCCUGGCUCCUGUGCCACACGUGAUCAGCUCUUCUCUUCUCAACAUAGUAACCCUCUCACAUACUCUUUGCAGCCCUGGACAGCUGCCAACCACCCCCAAAGAAGCAAAUUCAAUGUCGUCGUCUUCUUCUUAGCGUUUCCCCCCCCUUCUGGGUUGGCUUGUUCGUUGCUGGUUUGUGAAGCACUGCGGUUUCCCCCCAGCCAAAGGGGCUUUCCUGCUGCCUCUACCUUUUCACAAUCCGCUCUGUUUUUUUCUUGACCAGAGCCCUUUGACAGUGCAUAGCCUGGCUGAGCUGCUGCAGGCUGGGGGGCAGUUUGACCAGUUUUAGGCUGCUGCCUAGAAGAGAUUAUCUCGCCUCCUUCUGUAGCAGAUGGUUACUCCGGUGCAAACCGCUACAGAAUAACAACUGCUUAGGACUGGGGGUGUGUUUGACAAAAGGAGCAGGGGAGAGAAGCAGGGAGGUCGCGUCGGACGCUCUUUGCCGUUCCCUGUCUAGUUGCACAGCCCCGAGAAAACAAACACACACCACCCUCCGGGUUUUGCUUGCUGACUCCUUUUUAGUGCUUCUCCAGUCCACACCCCCUUAUGUACAGGACAUGGAGCAGUCCAAAAGCAACCAGUGUGGAGGGGGUGUGUGCAUCAGCGGAUAAUUUUUCCUUCCAAACCCUUGCAUCGACAUGCAAAACCGACAUGCUGCAUGCCAGGCAAGGAGGAAUGCGUCUGCAUGCGGUGUCGGUGCUGUUUUCUGCUUCUCCCCCUACAUUUUUUGCAUUUACACAAUAUUGGUUUGGUCCAACUCCAGGCGAGUUAUUCUGUGUGAUUUCCAUGCACAACGCUCGCCUACGCCCGGAUUUUUUUGCGCAGCUCCACCCCGAGCUUGCCUUGGUUGCAUCGGAUACGUAAAGUGCUUAACGGCCGGUGGAAGCACAAACAAGCGCUUGAGUGACGUGUUGCUCAGAGGAAAAGACUGGGUGGUGCCUAGGCAAGUGAAUGGCUGCGAACUGGCAGGAGAGACAGCUAGCAGGGGAACCCUGGGUCUAGCUGCACACUGCAGCUGUGUUUGCAAAGGGUUGAUAUGCUGGAGGGACAGUGUGUGUGAACGCUUUUCAGCUUUCCCCACCCCUUGUAACUCCUUGCAUGUGCGGUCUGGAUGGUACACCAGCAAUAAUUGGAGAUGGGGAAGCGGCCAUCCUGCCACUGGAAGUUGAGGAAAGAGGCGUGGGGUGAUUGAUCGUGGGCAUUUGAGCUGUGGGUUCUCGUUUAGUUUUAUUGGUGGGCGUCCAAGACGCUCGCCUCUCCCCCAACAUCAGCUGUUUGGACUCUGGGAGAUCCCUACACAUUGCUCACUGAAGCUCUUCGUCCUCUUCCCACCAGAACCAUUGUAACAAAUCCUGUGCGUUUUACAUCUCAGAAAAAAGCAAAGGAUUUUUAAAAAUAUCCAGAGGGCAAGUCUGUCUAACACUCUUUAGCGGGCCCGGCCCGAAGUUCGGCUUAAUAGCUGUAGAGAAAUGAUCAGGAAGACCCUUCCUCAUUUCGAAAGGUCCGGAAUAAAAUUGCAUAUUCUAGUGUAAAAAAAAAAAGAACACUAACACAAGAUUGAUCUCGUUCACGAAACAGCAGUAGCAAGGGGAGUAUGGGGGGAGUGAAGGGAGGAGUUGCAGGGGCCUGGCGCAGCACUGUCCAUACACAUUCAAUUUCUAUUUGACUACAAGGGGGCGGAGUGGAGGACUGGGGAGGAUCCGUUCGCAAGGGACGUGCUGGAUUUGUUCUACAGCCCUUGUUUACAGCCAUCAUGUUUAGCCAGCCCCCUUCUCUCCCCGCCAACAGACAGACACCCUGACCCUCCCCCCGUCUCAUCGGCUUUUGGGGUGGGGGUGGGGGGUUAGGGAGGAGGAGGAGGAUUUAAGGGCUGUGCAAACAAAUUGUUAUCUCAAGAACUCUGCUGGAAUAUUCAAAUAGUUAACUAUUUGCAUCGUGUUCCUUAAUGCAAUUUAGUAACCUAGUGUAUUAAUUAAAAUACUUACAGAUUAUGCCAGAUGGAUAUGCCAAUAGCUGGAGGAGUGCUGAGCACCUAUUUACGUCAGGAGGAACAGUAGAUGUUUAACAUUUGAAAAUCAGCCAGGAACUGUUUUUCACCCUGGAUCUAGUACCCUCCCAACCCACCGAAGGCAGGCUCCGGGACCUAGAAGGCGGAGAAGGGACCUCUGCUGCAAAUGUUUCAUCGCUCCAUGUAUCAUCUCCGUCCCAGAGGCUGUCAAAGAUUAGAAGC
Dermochelys coriacea (leatherback sea turtle) is the source of this 3392-nucleotide RNA transcript. RefSeq lists it as uncharacterized. The record is from RefSeq and is a predicted model, not a curated record. Lineage: Eukaryota; Metazoa; Chordata; Testudines; Dermochelyidae. The transcript has 4 exons.